CCUUGCGAUAAGCGCAGAUAAGGCAGUAAGAGCCGUUUGAGUCUGCGAUUUCCGAAUGGGGAAACCCAACUGCAUAAGCAGUUACUGUUAACUGAAUACAUAGGUUAACAGAGCAAACCGGGGGAACUGAAACAUCUAAGUACCCCGAGGAGAAGAAAUCAACCGAGAUUCCGGUAGUAGCGGCGAGCGAACCUGGAUUAGCCCUUAAGCACUCGGUGAAGUAGGUGAACAAGCUGGAAAGCUUGGCGAUACAGGGUGAUAGCCCCGUAACCGACGCUUCAUCGAGCGUGAAAUCGAGUAGGGCGGGACACGUGAUAUCCUGUCUGAAUAUGGGGGGACCAUCCUCCAAGGCUAAAUACUCCUGACUGACCGAUAGUGAACCAGUACCGUGAGGGAAAGGCGAAAAGAACCCCUGUGAGGGGAGUGAAAUAGAACCUGAAACCGUGUACGUACAAGCAGUAGGAGCACCUUCGUGGUGUGACUGCGUACCUUUUGUAUAAUGGGUCAGCGACUUAUAUUCAGUGGCAAGGUUAACCGUAUAGGGGAGCCGUAGCGAAAGCGAGUCUUAACUGGGCGCUCAGUCUCUGGAUAUAGACCCGAAACCGGGUGAUCUAGCCAUGGGCAGGUUGAAGGUUGAGUAACAUCAACUGGAGGACCGAACCGACUAAUGUUGAAAAAUUAGCGGAUGACUUGUGGCUAGGGGUGAAAGGCCAAUCAAACUCGGAGAUAGCUGGUUCUCCCCGAAAGCUAUUUAGGUAGCGCCUCGGACGAAUACUACUGGGGGUAGAGCACUGUUAAGGCUAGGGGGUCAUCCCGACUUACCAACCCUUUGCAAACUCCGAAUACCAGUAAGUACUAUCCGGGAGACACACGGCGGGUGCUAACGUCCGUCGUGGAGAGGGAAACAACCCAGACCGCCAGCUAAGGUCCCAAAGUAUUGCUAAGUGGGAAACGAUGUGGGAAGGCUCAGACAGCUAGGAUGUUGGCUUAGAAGCAGCCAUCAUUUAAAGAAAGCGUAAUAGCUCACUAGUCGAGUCGGCCUGCGCGGAAGAUGUAACGGGGCUAAGCAAUACACCGAAGCUGCGGCAAUAUCUUUUAGAUAUUGGGUAGGGGAGCGUUCUGUAAGCCGUUGAAGGUGAAUCGUAAGGUUUGCUGGAGGUAUCAGAAGUGCGAAUGCUGACAUGAGUAACGACAAAGGGGGUGAAAAACCUCCUCGCCGGAAGACCAAGGGUUCCUGUCCAACGUUAAUCGGGGCAGGGUGAGUCGACCCCUAAGGUGAGGCCGAAAGGCGUAAUCGAUGGGAAACGGGUUAAUAUUCCCGUACUUCUGACUAUUGCGAUGGGGGGACGGAGAAGGCUAGGUGGGCCAGGCGACGGUUGUCCUGGUUCAAGUGCGUAGGCUUGAGAGUUAGGUAAAUCCGGCUCUCUUUAAGGCUGAGACACGACGUCGAGCUGCUACGGCAGUGAAGUCAUUGAUGCCAUGCUUCCAGGAAAAGCCUCUAAGCUUCAGAUAGUCAGGAAUCGUACCCCAAACCGACACAGGUGGUCGGGUAGAGAAUACCAAGGCGCUUGAGAGAACUCGGGUGAAGGAACUAGGCAAAAUGGUACCGUAACUUCGGGAGAAGGUACGCUCUUGAUGGUGAAGUCCCUCGCGGAUGGAGCUGACGAGAGUCGCAGAUACCAGGUGGCUGCAACUGUUUAUUAAAAACACAGCACUGUGCAAAAUCGCAAGAUGACGUAUACGGUGUGACGCCUGCCCGGUGCCGGAAGGUUAAUUGAUGGGGUUAGCGCAAGCGAAGCUCUUGAUCGAAGCCCCGGUAAACGGCGGCCGUAACUAUAACGGUCCUAAGGUAGCGAAAUUCCUUGUCGGGUAAGUUCCGACCUGCACGAAUGGCGUAAUGAUGGCCACGCUGUCUCCACCCGAGACUCAGUGAAAUUGAAAUCGCUGUGAAGAUGCAGUGUACCCGCGGCUAGACGGAAAGACCCCGUGAACCUUUACUACAGCUUGGCACUGAACAUUGAACCUACAUGUGUAGGAUAGGUGGGAGGCUAUGAAGACGUGACGCCAGUUGCGUUGGAGCCGUCCUUGAAAUACCACCCUUGUAUGUUUGAUGUUCUAACUUAGACCCAUUAUCUGGGUUGAGGACAGUGCCUGGUGGGUAGUUUGACUGGGGCGGUCUCCUCCCAAAGAGUAACGGAGGAGCACGAAGGUGGGCUAAUCACGGUUGGACAUCGUGAGGUUAGUGCAAUGGCAUAAGCCCGCUUAACUGCGAGAAUGACGGUUCGAGCAGGUGCGAAAGCAGGUCAUAGUGAUCCGGUGGUUCUGUAUGGAAGGGCCAUCGCUCAACGGAUAAAAGGUACUCCGGGGAUAACAGGCUGAUACCGCCCAAGAGUUCAUAUCGACGGCGGUGUUUGGCACCUCGAUGUCGGCUCAUCACAUCCUGGGGCUGAAGUCGGUCCCAAGGGUAUGGCUGUUCGCCAUUUAAAGUGGUACGCGAGCUGGGUUUAGAACGUCGUGAGACAGUUCGGUCCCUAUCUGCCGUGGGCGUUGGAAGAUUGAAGGGGGCUGCUCCUAGUACGAGAGGACCGGAGUGGACGAACCUCUGGUGUUCGGGUUGUGUCGCCAGACGCAUUGCCCGGUAGCUAAGUUCGGAAUUGAUAAGCGCUGAAAGCAUCUAAGCGCGAAGCGAGCCCUGAGAUGAGUCUUCCC
This 2709-nucleotide ribosomal RNA is filed under the name Vibrio cholerae. Its description in RNAcentral is "23S ribosomal RNA". It matches the Rfam family "Bacterial large subunit ribosomal RNA". Lineage: Bacteria; Pseudomonadati; Pseudomonadota; Gammaproteobacteria; Vibrionales; Vibrionaceae. The record is from RNAcentral.